CUUCCCUUUCUGGGGCACCCUGGGAUCUGUGUUAAGUCAAUUUCCUGGGAACGCUCCCCUGAGGGCUGGUAGCCCCCCACUUCCCGGGUACGCUGUUCCAUAACCCUCAAGAGAAACAGCCGGUGACAAGUGGGAGCAGGGGCCUCCUUGCUCUGGGAACCACAGGGGCUGCUUCCCCGACCCCCCUUCAGCCCUGACCCAUCUGGCCUCUCUCAUAGCCUGGGUGUCCCCAAAUCAUGGGAUCUUUUGUUUCACAGGACUUGAGAGAUGACCUAAGACCUGUCCAUGGGAUACAGAAAUCCUGGAGAGAAGCAGCUCAGGCCCUGUCCACCCGGAGUCACCUGCCAGUACCACAUCCUGACCAGAAUGGCUUCUGCUCGCCCACAGUGCUGCCGCAGGAUGGCCCACAACAGGAAAUAGCAUCUGAGGACAGACCUGGAGAAAAGCUUGCAGCGGAUGACGCCUGUGCGCAGCUCCAUCAGAGGCAGGAGAAAUGAAAAAUGAGUGCCGUCGAAAAUGAAGUGAAGAAAAGAACAUCAUUAGGCAGCUACUUUCGCACCGCACCUCCAAGCAAAUGAUGGCAGCAGAGUUGCUGGCAGGUUUCAGCGAGGAGGGCCAUUGACUCCCCGCACACAGAAGAGAGGACAGUGACUUGCUCUGGGCCACAGAAGGCAAGAAGUCUGGCCUUUGGCCCCAGCCUGCACCACUGUCCUCUGUAAGUCUGCUCAGAGGGACGGCCACCAAAAGACCCUGCCCCUUCUCAUCUGCUCCUUUUGUUUUUUGUUUCUUUGUUUGUGUUUUGAGACAGGGUCUCACCAAGCAGUCCAGAUGGCCUUGGGAGGGCAGGUGCUGGGGGAGAAAUUCAAUUCUCGGCAGAUACACAGUCUGGCUGUGCUGACGCCCUUUGCCUACCUUCAUUCCCAGGCUCCUCCUUACAUCUCCUUCCCAGCAUGGAAGCCCUCCUGCCACUCUUCCAUUUUAAACCUGGACUGGGAAGCCAGGGCCUUAAUUUUUUAAAUUCUAGUUAUUGAAUUCUGCAGAGACCAAUCUGGAUUCAGCCACAGCAGGGCUCCCUCAGCGGGAGAACCAGAGCUGUCUCAACAGAAUCUCUUCUCACCAACACAAGAGACAGACCCGAACAUGAGGGAUGCUGGGGACCCUGUUUCCUAGGCAAUUUUAAUUACCAACAUUAAGAGGAGGAGUUGUUCUUCCCUUCCACAGGGGGUCUCUGCCUGGCUGCUCCUGGAGAAGAGGGACAAAAUUUAAAUGGUUUUCCGGGCUGGCAGAACACAUUCCCCACAGGCACUCAGAGGCGGCAUAUAAGGGGCCACCAAGCAGUCUCAGAGGCUCCAAGCACUCAAUCCCAGCUGCCAUUGACCAGCUGAUCUCCGAAGGCAGCCCUCAGAGUUUUCUUUAGCUUUGGAGUCUAUUGGACAGUUAAAAUUCAAAUAUUUCUGGGAGGGAUGAUAGCUACUUUUGUUUUGUUUUGUUUGAGACAGGGACUUGCUAUGUGCUGGGCUUGAACUCACUAUGUAGCCCAGGCUGGCCUCAAACUAGAGGCAAUCCUCCUGCCUCUGCCUUUUGAGGGCUGGGAUUACAGAAGUCUAUACCCACACCCAACUGGGGUGUUAGCUAUUUACAGUUUAGCACAAUUUUUUCCAGCUCACCCUCCAAAAGUACUUUUCAGAGAAAGAGAAAAUCAGAUGACUAAGUGAGGGAUAAAGGAGGGAGACAAGCACUCAAAUUGGAAGUAAAGGAAAAGUUCAAGCAGAGGCUACGGCACAAGGCAAACUGAGCCUUACCAGC
Molecule: long non-coding RNA, 1806 nt
Organism: Fukomys damarensis (Damara mole-rat)
Lineage: Eukaryota; Metazoa; Chordata; Mammalia; Rodentia; Bathyergidae
Source: Ensembl